This 88-nucleotide transfer RNA is filed under the name Prevotella sp. S7-1-8. RNAcentral's name for it is "tRNA-Ser". It matches the Rfam family "tRNA". Rfam says of the family: Transfer RNA (tRNA) molecules are approximately 80 nucleotides in length. Lineage: Bacteria; Pseudomonadati; Bacteroidota; Bacteroidia; Bacteroidales; Prevotellaceae. The record is from RNAcentral.
GGAGAGAUGGUAGAGUGGUCGAUUACAACGGUCUUGAAAACCGUCGCACCGAGAGGUGCCGGGGGUUCGAAUCCCUCUCUCUCCGCAA